UUUAAACGUUUAGGAUUUCUAUACCUGACUUAGUCAAGUCCUUGUCACAAAAGUUGGUCUAGAAGAGCCAGUUUGGUCAAGUAGUUAAGGCAUCAGGCUAAACACCAGAAGACUAUAGUUGUGGGAGCUCUCCAAAACAGAUUUGGGUAUCAGAAGAAAAAGUUCUGAGUGUAUUUCCAUUCAUGUGAGGUUAUAUUUCAUCCAAUACCAGAUUUAACAGAGGCAUAGUUAGCACUCCAAGAUGUUAUUCAGUACUUCCUGUUCAUUCACAGAAGCAAUAAUAAUGAAGUUAGAGGCAGAAGACAAAAAGAGAUGGAGCAUAAUCAACAAAGGCAGCAAAAUAGCUGUGUGCUGAAGAUAAGGAAAACCUAAACAUUGAAAAUCAAAGCUAUCAAUUCUGAAUAAAAAAGGAGCUACUUGCCUCACUUAGUCACAAAAUAUCAAAUAUAGUGUGAGU
This is a non-coding RNA of Pantherophis guttatus, 457 nucleotides long. Lineage: Eukaryota; Metazoa; Chordata; Lepidosauria; Squamata; Colubridae. The record is from RefSeq and is a predicted model, not a curated record.